AUGAUACAUUCUACAAUUACCUUCACUAUGAUCGCAUCGAUGCCUCGGGUCCUCUUCCUCGUUGCUUUGACCGUCGCCAUGGCAACCGCCACGUCUGGCGCGCGGAGCCGGCAGAUCCACCUGCGCUUCUACAUGCACGACAUCACCGGCGGCCCGGGCCAGACGGCGGUGCAGCUCGUGAAGGGGCCCGGCCCCGCGCACCCGUUCAUGCCGGGCGCCCACUUCGGCGACACGACGGUGAUCGACGACGCGCUGACGGAAGGCCCCAGCGCGGCAUCGCGGGCCGUCGGUCGCGCGCAGGGGUCGUACAUGCUGGCGGGCCUCAAGGAGCCCGUGCUGAUGGUGUCCAUGACAGUGGCGCUCACGGGCGGCGUGUAUAACGGCAGCACCAUCGCCGUGGUGGGCCGGGACGACAUCUCCGCGGCGGUCAGGGAGCUCGCGGUCGCCGGCGGCACGGGCGCGUUCCGGAAGGCGACGGGGCACGUCCUCUGGCGGACGGCCAGGAUGGUGUCGCGCGACCACAUGGUGCUGGAGCUGGACGUCUACGCGACCAUGCCGGCCGCUGUUGCUGCUCCGAACGGGCAGCGUCAGUCCGGCGUUUUGAAUAUUUAG
This 612-nucleotide ribosomal RNA is filed under the name Triticum aestivum (bread wheat). RNAcentral describes it as "partial small subunit ribosomal RNA". The record is from RNAcentral. Lineage: Eukaryota; Viridiplantae; Streptophyta; Magnoliopsida; Poales; Poaceae.